CCCUCUGGAGCAUCCAGAGAAGAGGCAGGCCCUAUGGAGAAUUCUACUACAAGCCCGGAUGGGGUUUUCCAUGGGAAAUGACUGAAAGCAGCCCUGUGUCACAUCAGCAAAGGGCACAGAGCUCUCUAUCACCUUGGAUGGGCUGAAGCAAAGACACCAGCAGAAAGGACAUGUGAUGCCUCAAAUCCACCACCUCCUUCCUCAUCACCAGUUGCUGGCUGCUGAUGGUGCUCUGAUUCUCAGAGACACUGCCUCAUUCUAGCUCUUCUCCCAGAUCCCAAAUUAUCUCUCAGAGCAACAUGCCUGCCUGAGGCAAGGUAACAGUCCCAUCCUGUCUGAAGACCUUUGUCCUUGUUAUACUGCAUGACA
RNAcentral lists this long non-coding RNA (369 nucleotides) under Homo sapiens (human). RNAcentral describes it as "HSALNT0098312". The record is from RNAcentral. Lineage: Eukaryota; Metazoa; Chordata; Mammalia; Primates; Hominidae.